AUCUAAGUAGUUUAAAAAAAAUAUUAAUUUGUGAUGUUAAAGUUAUAUAUAAGUUAUAUCUUAGAUU
RNAcentral lists this transfer RNA (67 nucleotides) under Tetramorium tsushimae. Its description in RNAcentral is "tRNA-His". Lineage: Eukaryota; Metazoa; Arthropoda; Insecta; Hymenoptera; Formicidae. The record is from RNAcentral.